This 492-nucleotide ribosomal RNA is filed under the name uncultured bacterium. Its description in RNAcentral is "partial 16S ribosomal RNA". It matches the Rfam family "Bacterial small subunit ribosomal RNA", at positions 29 to 507 of the family's 1533-position model. The record is from RNAcentral.
AGUGAACGCUGGCGGUAGGCCUAACACAUGCAAGUCGAACGGCAGCACAGUAAGAGCUUGCUCUUACGGUUGGCGAGUGACGGACGGGUGAGGAAUACAUCGGAAUCUACUUUUUCGUGGGGGAUAACGUAGGGAAACUGCCGCUAAUACCGCAUACGACCUACGGGUGAAAGUAGUAGAUCUUCGGACCUUGCUCGAUUGAAUGAGCCGAUGUCGGAUUAGCUAGUUGGCGAGGUAAAGGCCCACCAAGGCGACGAUGCGUAGCUGGUCUGAGAGGAUGAUCAGCCACACUGGAACUGAGACACGGUCCAGACUCCUACGGGAGGCAGCAGUGGGGAAUAUUGGACAAUGGGCGCAAGCCUGAUCCAGCCAUACCGCGUGGGUGAAGAAGGUCUUCGGGUUGUAAAGCCCUUUUGUUGGGAAAGAAAAGCAGCAGGUUAAUAUCCCGCUGUUCUGACGGUACCCAAAGAAUAAGCAACGGCUAACUUCGUG